UUUUUUUUUUUUUUUUUUUUGUCUGAAUCAUAAAAGCAACAUGACAUGAUCUGGAAAGCUUUAGGGAAUGUAAGUGCUGUCAUCAGCUGGGAGAUUUCAUUUUCUAGGAUUAAUUGAAGUUGCUGCCACCAUCUCUACAGCAAGAGUGUCAAAAGUGAGUAACGGACUGAUCCCUGCUGGCGAAUGGGGUUUCUCAGGAUGAUAGGCAGAGGAUGCUCCUACCGGGCUGUCCUCCUGGCAGAGGCAGAAACGCUAGCAGUCCCUGGCCAGUAAGUCCAUUUCCCUUCUAUCUGUUCUGAGAUAAUGGCAUUGCACUGGAAUUGAAUAGAGUCUGAGGAAGAUAAGCACUAACUACCCUAAUGGGCAUCCAGCCCCCUAGUGUGAUUGCCCGCAAAAGAAAACAGUGUCCCAAGCUCAGCUCAGAACCAGGCAAUUCUCAGCUGAACAGCUCGGCUGCCCUCCUUUCUUUGUUUCUUUGUUUGUGUACGUUGUUGUUUGCUUUUGUUUCUGCUACUGUUUUGUAGAGAUGGGGUCUCAACACGUUGCCCAGGCUGAUCUUGAACUCCUGGUCUCAAACAAUCCUCCCAUCUCAGCUUCCCAACGUGCUGGGAUUGCAGAUGUGAACCACUGUGCCUGGCUAUCUUUUAGUUCUUUGAGACAAGGUCUCACUGUGUCCAGCUCACCACAGCUAGAAACUCCUGGGCUCAAGCCAUCCUCCUGCCUCAACCUCUCCAGUAGCUGGGACUACAGGUGCACACCACCACACCUGCCUAUUUUGUUUUGUUUUGUUUUUGUUUGAGAUGGGGUCUCGCUAUGUUGCCCAGUCUGCUCUCCAACUCUUGGCCUCCAGUGAUCCUCCUCCUUCGACUUCCCAAAGCACUGGGAUUAUAGGCAUGAGCCACCAUGCCCGGCCGUGAAGUAUUUUCUAUCCUUGAAAUGUGUUAGACAAAUUCCUGAGGGGAAACCCCACACAUUCAAUAACCCUUUACUUUUUCAACAAAGCUUCCCAUAUAUUGGAGCCUCAUUUUAUCCCCCACCCAUGAACUUUAAAAGUGGAACAUCAUUUUGUUCUUAAAAAAAGGAACAGUCAGGAAAAGGCAGGGCUCUCAACUGAUACUGAGAGCUCAGGGACUGGAACACUUGAUGAAAUGUGUCGAGCUCAGGCCCAGCCCGCGAGGAGCUGAGUCGGGGCUGGUGUGCUGGCAGGGCGGUCAGAGCUGCAGCCACUGAGGCCACGACUGCGGAAAAACAUCUCCUCUUGGGCCGUGGGGGAAGCUGGGGCGCAGGGGCGCAGCGGGCAUUGGGGGCACACCUGCCGGAACUGCGCGUGGGAGCCGCCUCACCACACCUUACUCCACCUUCUCCUCCUUUUCCUCCGGCAUCUCCACCGACAGGAUCUGCUCGCCGGGCUCCGGGCCUGGGCUCAUGCGGAUCCUUACCGAGUGCUCCUCAGGCUGGGCCGCCCCCUCCUCUUCUCCCUCGGGCCUCCCAAGGGAGGCAGGCGGUGGAGAGCGGUGGAGACCCCAGGG
RNAcentral lists this long non-coding RNA (1529 nucleotides) under Macaca fascicularis (crab-eating macaque). Its description in RNAcentral is "lncRNA (ENSMFAG00000047596.1)". The record is from RNAcentral. Lineage: Eukaryota; Metazoa; Chordata; Mammalia; Primates; Cercopithecidae.